GCGCCGCUAGCUCAAUUGGUAGAGCAACUGACUCUUAAUCAGUAGGUUCGGGGUUCGAUUCCCUGGCGGCGUA
This 73-nucleotide transfer RNA is filed under the name Candidatus Eiseniibacteriota bacterium. RNAcentral's name for it is "tRNA-Lys". It matches the Rfam family "tRNA". Rfam says of the family: Transfer RNA (tRNA) molecules are approximately 80 nucleotides in length. Their secondary structure includes four short double-helical elements and three loops (D, anti-codon, and T loops). The record is from RNAcentral. Lineage: Bacteria; Candidatus Eiseniibacteriota.